RNAcentral lists this non-coding RNA (26 nucleotides) under Drosophila erecta. RNAcentral also lists the same sequence under 3 other names. The record is from RNAcentral. Lineage: Eukaryota; Metazoa; Arthropoda; Insecta; Diptera; Drosophilidae.
UUGAUUUGCAUUUCCCUGAUGAUUAA